GAAUGUGCAGCUUUGUGGCCUUAGUUUUGCAAAAACUAUUGAGAAACUUUUAGUUUCCACAUUCU
This 65-nucleotide transfer RNA is filed under the name Rhinebothrium scobinae. RNAcentral describes it as "tRNA-Cys". The record is from RNAcentral. Lineage: Eukaryota; Metazoa; Platyhelminthes; Cestoda; Rhinebothriidea; Rhinebothriidae.